CUUCCCUAUGGCAGAGGAUGAGAGCACAACUCUACCAGCCUGCAAAGUGCUUGCUUCCUUCUUCUCCCCAAAGCACGGGCACCUCUUUGCUAAGAGGUCAGGUCCAAAGAUCACACAAUUUCACUUGAAAAUACGGAUACAAAAAGGCUGCUCAGCCUCACUGAAUCUGGAUCUUUAGAAGGAAAACUUGCUCUCCAUAGUCAUAGCAAAGUGAUUGAAGAACACUGAUGAAAUAAACAGGUACAGGGGCUGUCCAAUAAAAGUGAGAAAGUGCAAAAUGUA
Molecule: long non-coding RNA, 282 nt
Organism: Pezoporus occidentalis (night parrot)
Lineage: Eukaryota; Metazoa; Chordata; Aves; Psittaciformes; Psittacidae
Exons: 4
Source: RefSeq, a predicted model, not a curated record